This 385-nucleotide ribosomal RNA is filed under the name uncultured bacterium. RNAcentral describes it as "bacterial SSU rRNA". It matches the Rfam family "Bacterial small subunit ribosomal RNA", at positions 28 to 410 of the family's 1533-position model. The record is from RNAcentral.
GACGAACGUUGGCGGCGUGCCUAAUACAUGCAAGUCAACUGAAAUACCGGUAGCAAUACUGGUAUGGAGGUGGCGCACGGGUGAGUAACACGUAGGUAAUCUGCCUUCAGGUCUGACAUAACCCAUCGAAAGGUGAGCUAAUAUCAGAUGAUGCAGCGGCUUGACAUCAAGACAGUUGUUAAAGCUUCGGCGCCUGAAGAUGAGCCUGCGUCUGAUUAGCUAGUUGGCGGGGUAACGGCCCACCAAGGCUGCGAUCAGUAGCUGGUCUGAGAGGAUGAUCAGUCACACUGGAACUGAGACACGGUCCAGACUCCUACGGGAGGCAGCAGUAAGGAAUAUUGCUCAAUGGCCGAAAGGCUGAAGCAGCAACGCCGCGUGAGGGAUG